AUGUUUUAAAAUGUAGAUAUGGU
This 23-nucleotide non-coding RNA is filed under the name Cricetulus griseus (Chinese hamster). The record is from RNAcentral. Lineage: Eukaryota; Metazoa; Chordata; Mammalia; Rodentia; Cricetidae.